AAGCGUGGGAACCGACAAAAUCAGAAUCUGCCGAAUAUGGUGGCGGCUGCACAUCAGCGGGAUCCAGGUCCCUACCAAGGUGACGCUGACGGAGCGUUCUGUGUGUGCUGGUGAGGACGCAGCCACUCUGGAGGGCGAGGAUGGCCUGGGAGCAGCAAGGCUGGCAAGGAGCUGACCGCAGGCCCUGUUGGGAUGGAGGAAACACGAGGAAGGAAGCAGCAGACUGUUGGGGCGCUCCAGGCCCAGUGUGGGUGAACAUCUGGCUGGCAGAGCGGAGCAAGGCCCGCAGCUCCUCCUCCUCCAGGAAGCCUACCCUGACUGCUCAGCCCCACCUGCACACCGUCCUCUCAGCUGUGACUAUGUUUCAUGUGCAGGCGGCGCACGUUUCCCACUAAGUCCUAAGGUCUCUGUCAAUGGCAACCAUUUUCUCCCUUUGCUUCUCCCACAGGGAGGUAACUCAGCGCUGGGCCUCAGUGGAAACUCCAUCAUGACCUUCCGAUUUGGGAGGCAGGUCAGGGGAAGUGGUCAGACCUGUGCCAGACAUGGGUCCCUUCUGAUGAGUGAGGAUCCCUUCUGAUGAGGUCCCUUCUGAUGAGCCUGGGCCACCACAGGGGAGCAGCCAGAAGAUGAGGGCUUGCCCAGGUCCCCCAGCCCAGUUCCCCAAGAGAGGGGUUGGCUACAGAGUAGGGAGGGGUGGGGGCAGCCUGGGAGAGAAGAGACUGCGGGCAGCGGGCAGCAGCUGCUGUGGGCUCUGGAGGAGCAACUUCACAUCUCUGUCCUUCAAACCAAACCACAAAGACUGGGUUCCUGGGGAGGGGUCCCUGAAAGGGAGGGAAGCCGCCUCGCUCCACGGAGCCAUUCUCACUGCUUAACGAUGCACAACUCAGUAAUGAAGAGAGUCUACCAGACCCAAUAUAAUCUGAAAUUAAAGAAAAAUGGAAUGUAUUAAAAAUGCAUUGCAGCAUUAAUGGAGGAUGUCAGCUUGACAGCCAAGCCGCACGCAUUACGCUCGGCUUGGGGAGCGCGGCUCUGGGCUGCUGGCCCCAGGGCUCUGAACCACAGAAGGACCUAGGGUGGAGGCUGACCUCUCAGAGGAGGUGCCGAUGUGCCCACUGCUUCCUCCACCCCUACGUUCCCCCGCUUCCCAGGGAGCCAUCCA
This 1159-nucleotide long non-coding RNA is filed under the name Bos mutus (wild yak). Its description in RNAcentral is "lncRNA (ENSBMUG00000011476.1)". The record is from RNAcentral. Lineage: Eukaryota; Metazoa; Chordata; Mammalia; Artiodactyla; Bovidae.